GUUAAAGGUACCCGUACCGCAAACCGACACAGGUGGGUGAGGAGAGUAUCCUAAGGCCAGCGAGAGAACUGUUGUUAAGGAACUCGGCAAAAUGACCCCGUAACUUAGGGAUAAGGGGUGCCACCAUUAGGUGGCCGCAGAGAAUAGGCCCAAGCGACUGUUUACCAAAAACAUAGGUUUCUGCUAAGUCGCAAGACGAUGUAUAGGAGCUGACGCCUGCCCGGUGCUGGAA
Molecule: ribosomal RNA, 232 nt
Filed under: Clostridioides difficile
Lineage: Bacteria; Bacillati; Bacillota; Clostridia; Peptostreptococcales; Peptostreptococcaceae
Description: partial 23S ribosomal RNA
Rfam family: Bacterial large subunit ribosomal RNA
Source: RNAcentral